This is a non-coding RNA of Xenopus laevis (African clawed frog), 104 nucleotides long. Lineage: Eukaryota; Metazoa; Chordata; Amphibia; Anura; Pipidae. The record is from Rfam.
GUAGCACAUAUACUACAUAUACUACAAUUGGAACAACACAGAGAAGAUUAGCAUGGCCCUUGCGCAAGGAUGACUUGCAAAUUUGUGGAGCAGAAAAAGUGUAA